RNAcentral lists this ribosomal RNA (867 nucleotides) under Eusphyra blochii. Its description in RNAcentral is "partial 16S large subunit ribosomal RNA". The stretch from base 192 to 696 matches the Rfam family "Bacterial large subunit ribosomal RNA", at positions 573 to 1301 of the family's 2925-position model. The record is from RNAcentral. Lineage: Eukaryota; Metazoa; Chordata; Chondrichthyes; Carcharhiniformes; Sphyrnidae.
ACCUCAAAGCUAGCCUAUAUAUCAACUUCAACUAGACCUAAUAAAUCUAAUUCACACUAUAAUUUUUUUAACCAAAACAUUCUUAACCUUUUAGUAUGGGCGACAGAACAAUAACUUCAGCGCAAUAGCUUAUGUACCGCAAGGGAAAGCUGAAAAAGAAAUGAAAUAAAUUAUUAAAGUACUAAAAAGCAGAGAUUACAUCUCGUACCUUUUGCAUCAUGAUUUAGCUAGAAAAACUAGGCAAAAAGAUCUUAAGUCUAUCCUCCCGAAACUAAACGAGCUACUCCGAAGCAGCAUUAUAGAGCUAACCCGUCUCUGUGGCAAAAGAGUGGGAAGACUUCCGAGUAGCGGUGAAAAGCCUACCGAGUUUAGUGAUAGCUGGUUACCCAAAAAAAGAACUUCAAUUCUGCAUUAAUUUUUUAAUUACCUAGACAAGACUCUCCUUAUCAAAGGAACUCAUAAGAAUUAAUAGUUAUUUAGAAGAGGUACAGCCCUUCUAAACCAAGAUACAACUUUUUAAGAUGGGAAAUGAUCAUAAUUACCAAGGUAAUCCCCUCAGUGGGCCUAAAAGCAGCCACCUGUAAAGCAAGCGUCGCAGCUCCAGCUCAAUAACCAAACCCUUAAUCCCGAUACCCACUCACUACCCUCCUUACUUAUUGGGUUAUUUUAUAAAAAUAUAAAAGAACUUAUGCUAAAAUGAGUAAUAAAGAGAAUAUAUCUCUCCUAACACAAGUGUAUGUCAGAAGAAUUAAAUCACUGAUAAUUAAACGGCCCCAAACUGAGGCUACUAUACUAUUUAAACAUCAACCAGAAAACCCUAUUCUUCCACCCGUUAACCCUACACAGGAGUGUUACCAGGAAAGAUUA